RNAcentral lists this long non-coding RNA (850 nucleotides) under Sarcophilus harrisii (Tasmanian devil). Its description in RNAcentral is "lncRNA (ENSSHAG00000027522.1)". Lineage: Eukaryota; Metazoa; Chordata; Mammalia; Dasyuromorphia; Dasyuridae. The record is from RNAcentral.
UGUUUUGGUGCUGGUGGAGCGAACUCACGCCCCUGGCCAGCCUUUUCAGCGACUGGUGCCAAGAGUCCUCGUUCACCAGCGCCGCCCCUUUAAGAGAUUUAGACUGACUGCAGACAUUUUGUAACUUUUUAAAGUGAUCUGCCGGGCAAAUAACGCCCAAUCGGAGGCCUUUUCACCUGAUGUCUAGUCAUCGAAUUGUUGUUUCCCCUGACGCCGGAUACUCUCCAAUGAGUGAAAUCACUAGCAAGAAGGUGGACAGCGAUUGCCAUCUUGCGGGCAAUGAAGUAAUUACAGGGAAAAUGUUUGAAACAGAUGGAAGAUGGCUGAUCGUUAAUUUAUCCCCCAUGCAAACCAAAGAGAAUCACUCUAAUAAUCUACUCUAUCAUUUUUAUGACUUUGGAAGAGAACGAUUCCCAGAAGAUUUACACAGCAGUUUCAAUAAUAAACUAGGAGUGUAUUGUAAUGGAAGAAUUAUCUUGCUACCAUCCUGUAGCCAACGAAAAUCUGUCUCUACCAGUAAAAUAUGUUUCUGUAUUUUUCCCUAGAGAGACCAUUGCUCUGAAUUUAAAAUUCAUGGGUCUGUUGACCUGAAGCUAUAAAUACAAGCCCUGGGCUCUUUUUUUCUUUGCAAAUAACCUUUAAGAAGAGAAGAAAUAAAUAGGGUACUAGGUGCCUUCCUUUGCUUAACUAUUUUACCAUUCAUUGCGUUGCUGCCAAAUCUGAACCAGGGAAGGGAAGAGAGAGAAAUAGUAAUUUGACAUUGUUGAGUGUAAUACAAUUUAAACACAAGGAAAAAACUGAAAAUUUCUUUCUAUAUUUGAGGCCCAGGCUGCAACCAGUUUAAAUCGUG